CCUCCUGAGAAAGCUUCACUUUGUGAUGAAAAAGGAGAUAUUGAUAGGGCAAAGAGACCUUGGGAGUUUCUACCUCCCAAUCACAAAAUUGGGACACCAGAGCCAUUGUUCAAGGAACUGAAAGAUGAGGAAGUUGAUUUCUUCAGGAAGAAAUUUGCUGGAAGUCAAGCUGAGAGGGCAGAAGCUGAAGCAGCAAGGAUUGCUGAGCAACCGAAGCGGCAAAGGUUGCUGAGCAACUGAAGAAGACUAAAGUUUCGGAUGGUAACGGGAAGAAGCAACAGAUCAAAAAGCCUUCUGCCAAAGCCAAAUCAAAG
RNAcentral lists this unclassified non-coding RNA (314 nucleotides) under Hevea brasiliensis (rubber tree). Lineage: Eukaryota; Viridiplantae; Streptophyta; Magnoliopsida; Malpighiales; Euphorbiaceae. The record is from RNAcentral.